Molecule: non-coding RNA, 45 nt
Organism: Schistosoma haematobium
Lineage: Eukaryota; Metazoa; Platyhelminthes; Trematoda; Strigeidida; Schistosomatidae
Source: Rfam
AUCCAGCUGACGAGUUCCAAAUUUGAUGAAACGCGCGUUCUGGAU